UACAGAGGUCUCAAGCGUUGUUCGGAAUUACUGGGCGUAAAGGGCGCGUAGGCGGCCUGCUAAGUCGAACGUGAAAUCCCUGGGCUCAACCCAGGAACUGCGUCCGAUACUGGUUGGCUUGAAUCCGGGAGAGGGACGUGGAAUUCCAGGUGUAGCGGUGAAAUGCGUAGAUAUCGGGAGGAACACCAGUGGCGAAGGCGGCGAUCUGGGUAGAUACUGACGCUGAGGUGCGAAAGCGUGGGGAGCAAACAGG
RNAcentral lists this ribosomal RNA (253 nucleotides) under uncultured bacterium. RNAcentral's name for it is "partial 16S ribosomal RNA". It matches the Rfam family "Bacterial small subunit ribosomal RNA", at positions 524 to 776 of the family's 1533-position model. The record is from RNAcentral.